GUGUCAGCAGCCGCGGUAAUACAGAGGGUGCGAGCGUUGUUCGGAAUUAUUGGGCGUAAAGCGCAUGUAGGCGGUCUGUUAAGUCGCGUGUGAAAGCUUCCAGCUCAACUGGAAAAGUGCGAGCGAAACUGGUGGACUUGAGUGCUGGAGAGGGUGGCGGAAUUCCCGGUGUAGAGGUGAAAUUCGUAGAUAUCGGGAGGAACACCAGAGGCGAAGGCGGCCACCUGGACAGACACUGACGCUGAGACGCGAAAGCGUGGGGAGCAAACAGGAUUAGAUACCCUCGUAGUCC
Molecule: ribosomal RNA, 292 nt
Filed under: uncultured bacterium
Lineage: Bacteria
Description: partial 16S ribosomal RNA
Rfam family: Bacterial small subunit ribosomal RNA
Source: RNAcentral